This 433-nucleotide ribosomal RNA is filed under the name uncultured bacterium. RNAcentral's name for it is "partial 16S ribosomal RNA". It matches the Rfam family "Bacterial small subunit ribosomal RNA", at positions 29 to 507 of the family's 1533-position model. The record is from RNAcentral.
AACGAACGCUGGCGGCAUGCCUAACACAUGCAAGUCGAACGAGACCGUCGGGUCUAGGUGCGCACGGGUGCGUACCGCGUGGGAACCUGCCCUUAGGUUCGGAAUACCUCCCCGAAAGGGGUGCUAAUACCGGAUAAUGUCUUCGGACCAAAGAUUUAUCGCCUUUGGAUGGGCCCGCGUUGGAUUAGCUAGUUGGUAGGGUAAAAGCCUACCAAGGCGAGGAUCCAUAGCUGGUCUGAGAGGAUGAUCAGCCACACUGGGACUGAGACACGGACCAGACUCCUACGGGAGGGAGCAGUGGGGAAUAUUGGACAAUGGGCGAAAGCCUGAUCCAGCAACGCCGCGUGAGUGAUGAAGGCCUUAGGGUUGUAAAGCUCUUUUACCCGGGAUGAUAAUGACAGUACCGGGAGAAUAAGCUCCGGCUAACUCCGUG